ACCAACCAUAUAUUAUUUCUCUUUAAACAUCGUAGAAAUGUAAUAAACUAAGUCUUUGUUCCAAGGUCGAAUGAAUCUCUGAAAGAUAGGUUCUUUAACAGGUCGACGUCACCGAUGGUGUUGUGUAUCACGCCAGAGAUCGAUUUGAAAACAAGUCUAGAGCUUUAAGGUUUCAGAGUAGAGUAAUUUAAGUGGGUAUUGAUCCUUUUAUCAGAUUAUCUGAUAAAUCGAUGAAUCUGAGAUCCGACUGGAACAUUUUAGGGAUGUUGCCAGAGAGAGAUUCGCGUGGGAGAUGGUAAGGAAAACAAUUUUGUGCAUGUAUCCGAGGAUGACGAAGAGACCAGAGGUGGAAACAUGACAGUUGAGGAAAGAGAGAGAGACGAGAGAUAAGCAGAGAGCUUUGAGUAAUGUGGAGGUGAUUGAGAGAUCAGAGGAGCAGUUUGUGAAGGAGAUGGAGGUGCGAGGACACAAUCAAGUUAUUACAAUAAGAGGUAAAUAUUGAGACUUCCAAUUCUAGGCUUCAGUUCUUUAUUGAUACAUUUAGUUUUGGUUCUGGCAAGCUUUGAACAUUUGCGUUAACAGCAUCUGAUUCUCACUUAGGUUUCUGUUCUCUGUGAAGGUGUUGUCCAGUUUCUUUUUUGAUUGACCAAAACAAGAGAGUUAAUUUUUUUUACAGAAUGGUGAUAUUUGUUAUCCCAAAUUUAAUCAUUGAAGUCAAAAGUAGCGUAACUGCAGUCAGUAAACACUAGAAUAUUGACGGAUGGUAUUAAUUUCGACCCUCGAUUCUAUGUUCUCCAUACUUUGGUGUUGUGUUUGAAAUUUUAUCUAUGUACAUAGAUGUAUAAUGGUGUUAUCAACAGAAAAAGCAAAGAUUGUGAUGUCUGAGGCACUGAGCAACACAACAAUGAGAAAACAUAAGAGUUAAUUUUAUUUACGUGUAUGUAUACCACUGGACCUACAAGCUUUACUCCUUAUAUCAAGUAAAAAGCUCGAGUUCAAGGUGUGGGAUCAUAUUAUUACGUGUCUAUAGACCAAAACACCUUACUCCAUUUAUCAUUUAUCUCUCUAUUACGUUCUUUUGCAAGUGGGAAACACAAAAACUGUGUUGUGUGUUUUGUGCACGCAGAGUGGAGCCACUUGUCUGCAAAGAGUACCUUCCCAAACAACAUGUUAUUGUUCCUUACCACAGAGGUGGCAAGCAGUUGCCCAUUGGAUUACAGGAUUUUAAAGAGGAUUUUGCGGCGCGUUAACACAGAGUAAUGAAAUGGUGUUGAUUCUAUACGGGUCGUGAAGUAUUAUACCUACUCAAACUUUUCUGCAAACUCUCAGCUAUUUGUGUCUGCAUUUUGUCAUCUGAUAUCUUCCCCGGAAGACACAUUUGUGUAUGCAUUUGAUUCGUAUACUCUCAAACAUUUUGAUGGUUUCUUUCUCCAGUGACCUGAUUGCAUUUCCAAAUGAUCAAAUAUGCCGAUUCAUCUACAUGAGUUUUGAUAUUACCAUGGAAAAGCAAAGUUCGUCACACUUGGGCUUCAUCUUUGUCUAUAUUGUAUUCUCUUACGCAGGUUCUAUUGGUUUGGAAUUCAGCACUUUUGUAGUUUGUAUACAAUUUUUAUGGUUAACCUUUUUUAAAAAAUCUUUUGUGGCGAAGCACAGCUGUUCAUCGUAAUUGCUAGGUAGAUUGGAAGCUGUUUUCACUUCAGAAUCUUUUCACAUCAUGGUUUGGAUCUUUUCUAUCAUGUUUUCACUUAGCUGUUCAUC
This is a long non-coding RNA of Brassica oleracea var. oleracea, 1758 nucleotides long. RefSeq lists it as uncharacterized. The transcript is spliced from 3 exons. Lineage: Eukaryota; Viridiplantae; Streptophyta; Magnoliopsida; Brassicales; Brassicaceae. The record is from RefSeq and is a predicted model, not a curated record.